Molecule: long non-coding RNA, 744 nt
Organism: Manis pentadactyla (Chinese pangolin)
Lineage: Eukaryota; Metazoa; Chordata; Mammalia; Pholidota; Manidae
Exons: 4
Source: RefSeq, a predicted model, not a curated record
CGGGCGUUCACCUGAGGGAGCAUGCAACGUGUGCACAAGGACGUGCUGCCAGGUUUCCUUCCAGACCACGCUGAGGGAGCCCCUUCCUGAUGGCCGCUUGAUGAAGCCUCCUGUUGAGGGCAGCUGGUUUCAGUCCCAUCCGCUUACGUUCCUUCAGAAGAGGACAAGUGGCAACUGCUGAGACAGUGCUCUGUUAAUAACCUUAGUCGUGACCAUUUUCUAAGAGGGAACCUAAGAUGGCUGCUGUCACCUAUUUGGUUUUGCACUGGGCCUGAUGCUCCUCCCGACAUCACAUUUGGAUGAAGAAAUGAAGGCUCAGAGAGAUUAAAAGUCUUGAUUAAUUAAGUCGGUAAGGAAGAAGCAGAGGCACAAUUCAAGUUCAAGGGCCCCAACUCCAGAACUAUUGCCCUGUACGAAGUAUGACACCAUUUAUAUUCAGAAGGCCCACUCUACCUCAGUUUGCAACCAAAUACUCAAGAAACUAAAGUAAAAGAUUAAUCAUUGAUGGCAUUUCUACUACCAGAUGUUAAAAUAACACAAUCCAGGUAUUUUGUUUACUAUGACAAAAAUCUUCUUGAAAAAAAUUAAAAUUGGAUGGUUCUAGGAGCCACCUUAUAGAAAUCCUAAUUCAUUUGGUCUGGCCAGGGGCCUACGAAUCUGUAUUUUGUGCCAUACGUCAGGUGAUUCUGAUGGUCGUUCUUGGGCCAUACUUUGAGAAAUACUGCUCUGGAUGAGUAGGUAUCU